AUACUUACUUGGCAGGGGAGAUACCAUGGUCGCGAAGGUGGUUUUCCCAGGGCGAAGCUUGUCCUUGGCGCUCCGGAUAUGCUGACCCCUGCGAUUUCCCCAAAUGUAGGACACGCAAUUGCACAAUUUGUGGUAGUGGGGGACUGCAUUCACACUUUCCCCUG
This is a small nuclear RNA of Molossus molossus (Pallas's mastiff bat), 164 nucleotides long. RefSeq annotates it as U1 spliceosomal RNA. NCBI's taxonomy places the organism in Eukaryota, Metazoa, Chordata, Mammalia, Chiroptera, Molossidae. The transcript has a single exon. The record is from RefSeq and is a predicted model, not a curated record.